AUACUGCCACCGCAAUAUAAUUAUUUUACGCUCAUUUCAUUACACACACCUCAUUUAAUGGUACACUCCUUGCACUCUUUCUUUUCUUAUUUUGGGUACAUGCCCAUAUUAAGGAGCCAUACUAUCAAUUUUUAAGUUAGGUUUUCUCUUUGUGUACAUUCCUAUCAUCAACCUCUCUCUUCAUUUCUCGCAUUCUUGAACAGCUAACUGAUAAUAGAGAUUCUGACAGAAAAUCUUUGCGGUCCUACAUGAUCAAUUGAAGAAGAGAUGUGUUUCCUGUAGUUUCAAUAUUGUCAAAUAUUCACANNNCUUUCUUUUUGUUCUUGUUAUUAUUUUAUAGCUCUUAAUUCAUGAAAGCUCAAUACACUGUAGCUGCAGAAUAAAAAACAAUUAUUCAUUUGCAGUCGACAAAUACGAGGGAGCAAAUAUUCUUGCAGAAUUAGGCAUCAUGUGUGUUAUCUAGCUAUAUAUUUUUAUCCUAUGACAUAAACAAUAUAAUUAAAAUUAAAGGAGGAAAAAGAAAAAGUAAGUCCGGAAGGCCCUUAGCAUCGGACUAUAGUAUCCUUCCCAUAUGCAUGCUCUUGUUCCACUUGUUGCCAUAACUUAUGAUAACAAAUAUGAAAAAUAACCUAAGCCACUUUAAUAAAAUAAUAAAAAGAAAUUUCAUACUAAAAAACAAAAGAUAGAAAAAUAUUCCUGAUAAUUCAAGCCAAUAACAGGAUAUCCAAGGAAUAAAUAGGUCAUUUGUGUUAUUGAUUACAGGCCUAAAGAGAAAAUUUAAGAAUCAAAUAAAAAUUCAUUGACUCAGAAAGUUCCCAGUAGCAUAUAUACUGAUGUGUCUAAAUUAGUACUCACAAUCGCAAGUGCACGAACCAUUUCUAUAGUAAUAGUAAGUUCAUCAGGAAGUCGAUCUCUCAAGGAACUAUGAUGCCACUUUUUAUAAAGACUAAUUAUCAACAUAAAAUAAUAAAAGUAAAUCUAAAUACUCUAAACCAGUAUUUUUGAGAAAAUAAUAUUUCAUAAAAUAAAUUAAAUAAACUAUAAAGUAAAUAAGCAAUGAUGUGAUGUAUGAAAACUAUAUGCUAAAUACAAUAUUUAGCUUAGCCAUUUACUUAGUAAUUUCCUUAUCUUACUUAAAGCUUAAAUCUAAUGAAUGAGAUGGUGAUGUGUCUUUUCCUUUAAUUACUUAAGCUAAUGAUGCAACUAACUUUUACCAUCAUAGAUUGAAGCAAAGAUGACGUCUCUAAUACAUUCAACCUAAAAAAUUUCGUAAUAAUUAUUAUCAUUAAAUUAAUAUAAUAGUUAACUAAUAAUAAUAAUUGAUACUAAUAAAGAUAUGAAGGUAAAAAAAUCACUCAUUAAAUAAAUAAAUAAUAAAGUUCAUACAUAAGUAAAAAUUCUAAACUAAAUAAUUAUAAAAACUAGUCUAAUAUAUUUAACCCAAUGAUUAUGGUAUUAAAUAGAAAGACAUAAAACAAUAAAGUAAAAACUUCCUCUAGAUCAAGAAUCUCUUCAAGUAGGAAGAUGAUUGGUCUUCACUCUCCACUUCCUGAAAAGCUCCUUAAAUCUUAAAAAGAGUAAUGAAAACUAAACUAAAGUGUUUAUGGAAGAACCGUAGAGAAAAUAACGGUGGACAGAUGUAUAGAGCAGAUAGAAGAGAAAUCUAAGUAAGAAGAUUUAUAGAGAUAUAUAUAUAUAUAUAUAUAUAUAUAUAUAUAUAUAUAUAGAGAGAGAAUAGUCCUCCUCUAAGUAAGUCUCUCUAGAUAUAAGUAUACCAAUAUAAGUCUAUCUGAUAGAUAAGAAUAUAUGUAUCUUUAUCUCCACCAAGUACUAUCCCAUGAAUAAUUCUUAAAAUAAAUUCUAAUAAUUAUAUAAAAUGACUAAAAUGUCUCUUGGGCCUUAUAAUUUUUGAUCAGGCCUUGCAAAUAGCAGUCUAUGCGUCUUAAUCUUGGGUCUUCUAUUAAACUUCUUUUUUAGUAUUUAGCUCCAUAUUUUCUUUUUUUGGCUAAUAUUAUCUGAAAAUAGACAAUUAGAUUUAAGUAAAAUAAAAAUACAUAUAUGAAAAUCAUAUUAUUAAAAUUUUAAAAUAUUAUAAAUAUCUAUAUAUAAUUUGGACCUAUGAUAAAAAUUACAUAUUGUCAUCUACUAGCUACGAGAAUACUAAUCAACCUUUUUGCUUUUCGUGGUUCAAGAGGAAAGGCAUUUCUCCAGCUUUGGCUUUCUUGUAUUUUUCUUUUCCUACGCAAUUCUUCUACGAUCUGUUAGUCACAAGAUUCAAGGAAUAUUUGUAAUGACUUGGGGAAAAAAAGAGAGAAGAAAAAACAAAACGAAAAAGACAGAGAAUAGAGAAUUCUAGAUAUGUAAAAAUGAAGAAUUACCAAUUUCAGAAAAUCAAUCAACUGGUUCGGUGUACACAUGUGGUGGCAAUCUGGAAUGCGAUGCUUAGAAUCCAAUGCCUAAGCCCUUAGUUUUUGUUGACUUGCUAUCAUAAAAUAGAACCCAGUAAUAUACCAAUAAAUGAGAUUAAUUCGGAUUAAUAAUUUAAUAGUACUUGAGAGAUCUCUAAAACCUGUAUAAUUUCAUUCAACUAGAUUCUAUCCAAAAAUUUAGACUAUUAGUAAAUAUAAAAAUUUGUAAGUCUCUUAGAUAACCCUCUACUCGAUUGAUCUUCAAAAACUGUGUAAUUGUUUGAAAUUUUUUUGUCAAUAAAAUGGGAUUGAUCAAUGAUCGAACUCUAAACUUUUUAGUAAUAGAUUUCUUUUAUAUAAUAUAAAAAAACUUAAGUUAUUAGUGGAAGAUCACAAAUAAUUUUAUAUAUUUGACAAAACAAAUAUAUAUAUA
RNAcentral lists this long non-coding RNA (2841 nucleotides) under Ricinus communis (castor bean). Its description in RNAcentral is "long non-coding RNA (RCOM_LNC002278)". The record is from RNAcentral. Lineage: Eukaryota; Viridiplantae; Streptophyta; Magnoliopsida; Malpighiales; Euphorbiaceae.